UUUCAUACUGCUGUUGAUGAUGUGAAUUUUGGAAAUAUUCUCCCCUAUUGGGUCUUUCUCCAUGACAGAUGAUGUCCUUUGGCUUCGGUUUUUUGCCUAAGAACUGCUGGAGUGCAGUGGUGCACACGCCUCACACUGUGACACAGCGGGAGAGCCCAGAGCGACAGCUGUUGGAAUGACUGCACUCUUCCUGCUCAAGUCUGACCUUUCCAAGGUAAUGGUGCUCAGAAAAAGAAGCCAAUCAGGAGAUCUGUUUUCUGUGCCCUUUUAACACUUCUAACUCAGGCACCCAAACCAGCCUGUAGCAGAAAGAGCAUCAAAGCCAUCCUCUGGACUCUACACAAGCCUUUGUCCUAUGUCUGGAGACUUCUUGGAAGCUGGAGCACACAAAUAGCUACAGCAAACUUGAGGAAUGGGCAUGAAUAGACUGGCUUCGGGGAACCUGCCAGCUUGGCCGUGUGGCCAAGGUAAUAGGCAAGCCAAGGCAGAGCUAGAGCUCAGAGCUGGAGGGGAAAUUAAAGCAGCAAAUGUAGAAACAUUAAGCCUGAAGAGGCGACGACGUUGAAUUCUAAAAUGCAGGCCAAAGCUCAGACUGCAAGCUGUCUGGCUGCUCCGGGUGUGCCCAGAAGUCAAAGUCCAGCAGGGGCAAAGGUGGAGGUGUGGUCCUGCACGUGGGGUGUUGGGGGGAUGUGGAAGAGGAGGUGCUUUAAGAUCCAGAGAUUCCAGCUGCCCUGGUGCACCCUUGGAAGAAUAAAAGGCUAGGAACUGGACAAGUCAGGCUCGAGUCCAAGCUGCCUGAGGAAUCGGGGAAAGAAUGGAGCUCAGAGUGGGAGGUCAGGGCAGUAUUUAAAAAUCCAGGAUAGCAGCAAAGCUGGCGGUGGCCCCUGACUCUGGUAAGGGCAGCCUGCAGCACCAUGCCAAGGGGGGCCUGACUGAUCAUGCCCUGCAUUUGCAAACAAGGAUUAGUAGGGUAUGAGUAGGAUUCUGCUGGUGCCUGGGAAGGCAGUGCCAUCUACAACUUUACAAAGUUUUAACAAAGGCCUGAAGGACACAACCUUCCCCAAAGUCCUGACGUCGCUGUUUGCUGGCAACAAAUAGAGUCAAAAGAAGAGAGGCACAGAAUGUGCCAGGGGUGUGCUGCGUACAGCCCCGAUGACCACAAGGCCUUCUUGGGUCAAGUUCUGCCAUCUCUGGUUAAGAUGGGCUCACCCUCUAGGACCCUGAUUGAGUCCUCGGACCACCAAGAGUGCCCCACCAAGAGCCUCCCUCUUCUGGUGACUCGUGCCUGCUUCCCGUGGAGAGCUCCAGAAGGGAGGAAACUGUGAGGAGGUGGAGAACGUGGCAGGGAUCCUAACUUUCUUACUGAAGGAAGUUCUUCACAAGUACCCAUCUGCCUUCAGGGAAGAAAACAUAACUCAUUUUGGUCUUUCAAAUUCAGUUCUCAAAACCAAAUCCUGUUGUCAGCAAUCUGUGUCCCAACGCCUUCUUCAGCAACAGCAUUUUCCCUGUGGAAUUAGUUUCCAAUGUUCUUUCUUAAAUAAACCACUGAAGAUUAAAAGGAAUCCAGAUACCCACCACAUUUUGUUUCCUUAAUGAGUAAUUAUCACAUUUCUUUGGCUACUUAAAUGCAUUCUCUGAGUCAGGUAAAGGAGAUCGUAAUAGUUAAUCAACAAGAAGUAAUUCUUGGGUACUUAACAAUAGUCUAAGCACUUAAUCAUACUUAAAAUUGACUAUUAAUGAACCUUAUAAACCAUUUUGCAAUUCUGAAAGUGAAUUUCUCUGCAGGCUUAGAGAUUACUAAGCCAUUUAGAUCUUACCAAACAAAUAUUAUUCAUGCUUUAAUUCCUGGGAAAAGAAAUUUAGAAAAUGAGGUUAAUGUUCAGUUGUCCUUUCCUGAGUUUAACAAUUAUAUAUUCCAUCUGGGAUGCUCUGAACUCAGGUUAAACAUUCUUCAAGUUAUUCCCACAUUUUUCAAGUUAUUCCCACGUUAGUGACCUACUUUAUUAGUAUUAUUACUAAAGAAAAGGGCUGGGUGCGGUGGCCCACAUCUGUAAUCCCAGCACUUUGGGAGGCUGAAGCAGGAGGAUCACUUGAGCUUGGGAGUUCAAGACCAGCCUGAGAGGGAGACUCCGUCUCUACAAAAAAAAAAAAAUUAGCCAGGUAUGGUGGCACGCGCUCAUGGGCCCAGCUACUCAAGGAGGCUGAGGUGGGAGGAUCACGUGAACCUGGGAGGCAGAGCCUGCAGUGAGCCCUGGUUGUGCCUCUGUACUCAAGCCUGAGAGACAGAGUGAGACCCUGUCUCCAAACAAUAAAGUAAAAUAAAUAAAUAAAUAAAUAAGAAUGCAAAUCAAAGACAUUAAGAAAUAGCUUUACUUUAAUGUAGGCAUUUAAGGUAAAAUAGGUCACAUUCUCUUUUUUAAAAAAAUUACUGACCCACAGAAAAACAAGUCAAAAAGCAGACUAUUUCAUAUUAGUGUCUUUUUUUUAAAGAGGAUUAAUAUAAAUUGCCUUCUCACCUGUUUUUAAAAUAAAGGACUGAAUGAUAGAACUUAGACAACAAAUCUAGUAGCAUGAUAAAAGCCUUUCUUUGAUAGCUAGAAAAGGUAAACAAAGAAUAAAACAGGGUGAAGAAGAAAGAGGACAGAUAGAAUGUGAAUAUUAUCUACCUUUUUCUCAAGAUAAAACUAAUAUUGCUUUCUAAAAAGAAGCAAUUCUUUAGAGCAGAGGUCAGCAAACUUUUUCUAUAAAGAGCCAGAUAUUAACUAUUUUAUAAUUUGCAAACCACAUAAGUCCUCUGUUUCAUAUGGGUUUUUUUCUUUUUUCUUUUUAAACAAUACUUUAAAAAUGCUGAAAAUAUUCUUAGCUUACAUCUACAAAAAAGCAGGCAGUGGGCUGAUUUGACUCACAGGUGGUAUAGCUUGCUAAUUCCUGCUUUAGAUUUUAAGAAUGAGGCAGAUGUUGCCAGAAUUUGCUCUAAUUUACUAUGAGGUUUGCAAAUAAAAGUGCUCUUGACAUGAAAACUUGCUAUUUUUAAUGGAAAGACAUGUACAGCCCUUUCUCAGGAAGUGGAGAUUAAUGCAUAAAAUUUUAUUUUCCUAACAUAAAGCAUGUUUUUUCAAAAAAUGGCUUCUCCAUCUUGUGGCCCUUUGAUUAUGAUAGCUCUGAAAGCUUUGAAAAGCUUGCAAAUACUCAACUUCAGGAAUAAAACCACCUAUGAGACCCUCACCUGAAGGCAGGAUCUUUCCUGCAGCCUUGAGUCUUCCUAAUCAGAACCAUUGUUUCGUAAACUGGACUCCGAAGACAACACUUAAAGUCACUCAAGUUCGCUACAAAAUUCUUGUUUUGUGUUUUCAUUUCUAAAGACAAUAAAAAUAAUUGAUAUGAUCAAGUUUGGGAUUAUCUAGAUGAUCUAGACAACUAUUGCGGUCAAAAUAGGCCUGAUCACAGGCAUUUUCAGUACCCAUGGAAUUCUAGAGCUUUGGAUACUUGUCUAGUCUGUUUGGGUCACUAUAACAAAAUGCCAUAAACUGGGUGCUUAUAAAGAACAGAAUUUUAUUUCCCACAGUUCUGCAGGCUGGGAAGUCCAAAAUCGAGGCAGAUUUGAUGUCCUCAAGUGAUGGAAGAAUCAAGAGGUCUCUCUGGGGGCUCUUUUAUAAGGGCACUAACCCCAUUCAUGAGAGCAGAGCCUAAUUACCUCCCUAAGGCCCCAACUCCUAAUACUAUCACCUUGAGGGUGAGGAGGGAAACAUAAAAAUACCAUAGUAAUACUAAUAGGUACAUCAGUGAAGAACAAUAUCACAGUAUCGUGUAGACAGGAAGAUUUUGCUGCAAUUUGGUUGUUAAAACAAAAAGUCGUGGGUGGAUACAAUCAUCAGACAGUUCAGAAGUGGCAUCCACGUACUCACCCAAAGGAGGUGCACUGCAGUUGUGGGAGCCCUGUGCUUGCUACUAGCAGUGACUUAAUUUCUGCAAAGCUAUGUGAUCACAUUCAACUAUGCUAGUUAACUUUAAUUUUACUGAAUUUGGUUUAGGUAGGUAGUUUGUAAAUUUAACUUUCUACUUGUAUAAGAAGUAUAAUUAUAAAAACAGCAGGUCAGCACGACAGGUCUGAGAGAAUCUGUAUUCUGUAAAAAAAUACCUAUUUCUUACUUGGCGAAAAACAUUAGUCAAUGUUGCACCAAAAACCCCCCAAAAGCUAUAGAUCAGAUAUUGACUAAAAUGAAUAUACAAAAAUCUUGACUGGAAAUAUUUUAAGUCAAAACUAACAGCCUAUUUCAGGUAUUGACAGAACAAAUUCCAGAAGCAGAAUAACUGAAACAAUCAUGUUGAAAUUAAUUAUAAUGGGCAGAAUUUGACUGAAACUUGUUACCACCUUCACCAAAAUAUAGCCUUUCUUAUACUAUCAAAUGUAUUGAAUAAAUUGUGAGCACUUUCUUGUACAACUUCUAAAAAUUUAGCUUUGCUUUUGUUAUCUGAAUAUUGUACAGGAAUAUGAGCAUGCAAAUAAGAUCUUUGUUUAGUUUCAAGUCUUUUUAUAACUAAAUCUGCUGGCAUUAGACAAUAAAUACAUUUUCAAAAUAUGAAUAGUCUCUCAUU
Molecule: long non-coding RNA, 4596 nt
Filed under: Homo sapiens (human)
Lineage: Eukaryota; Metazoa; Chordata; Mammalia; Primates; Hominidae
Description: LHRI_LNC9.1
Source: RNAcentral